This is a long non-coding RNA of Hordeum vulgare subsp. vulgare (domesticated barley), 1696 nucleotides long. RefSeq lists it as uncharacterized. Lineage: Eukaryota; Viridiplantae; Streptophyta; Magnoliopsida; Poales; Poaceae. The transcript has 3 exons. The record is from RefSeq and is a predicted model, not a curated record.
UAUUUGCAUUUCUGUGAUAAGCAAGCAUUGCAGCAAAAUAUGGCAGAACAAGAAAUAUACAUAUGUUUUGUUGUUGUGAUAGUUUGAUAUAUAUCCUUAAAUCCUUGAAUCAAAGGAAGAUCUUGAUAUUUAUAUCCCACUAUGUGUUCGUCACCAAGAGCCUGCAUAGUCUGGUCAUGCCUCAUACUCCCUCGAUGGUGGGGCCUCUUCUCGCACGACGACAACAGCCUGGACCCACAGUGCCGACACAGCUGUCUGGCUGCGAAGGAAACAUGCUCAGAUGAAUGAUAAAAUGAAACCAGGCUUGAAGAUGACCAAAGAUGACAUGAAGCAACCUAGAAGAAAUAGUCACCAGUGGACGGCAAUUCGUCUGAUAAAGUGCUCUGGCUCCUUGAGUCCAUGCUGGCAAUGCAGAAGCAUCCUCCUAAUGUACUAACUGCAUCUGGAGCAUCUUAAAUUCUAUAAAUUUGGUAAAGGAUUCCCCACCAGCGGCAAAGAACUAUUUCUAUUCUGAUCGCCGCAUUUUUUCUUUCCUUUCUACUGUUUGCAAAUGUCUUCAAAACAUCAACGAACUUCAAUGUUACCGUGCUGCUUCUUGCUACAGAUGCGAUAGGCCUCCUUAGGGAGGCAGGGGAGUAGUUCUUCUGGGUGUGAAGCUGAAUGCUCCUUGGCUUCAGCUUCUUUUCUUCUUCUUGUGUUUUAACUUCUUUUCUCCAGCUGCUACCUCCAGCAGUCUUGUAUAGUUUUUCCCUCUAAUAUAUUGAAAAGGCAGACCUCCUGCUAUUCCGGUCAAAAAUAUAUAUAUAUGCUGUAUUCAGGUAUUUAGGGCCCGUUUGGUGUCACUGCGCUCCACGGCUCCGCUCCAAAAGAGGAUGGAGCUCUAGUGCAAAAUCUUGGAGUGAGCAAACAGCCGCUCUGCAGAUAUUAGGAGCCGGUGGAUUACCGAACCGGUCCUUAACUUCUCAAGGUUAUCCUUUGGAGUCUUGGUUCCUUGAAGACUUUGGAAUAAAGAGUGAACUCUAGGGAAGAUAACCAAAACACAUGGCGGAUGGACUCUUCAUAUUUACUCCAAAUAUUUUGAUUUAUAGCCACUCCAUCAGUAUCGCCAUUGGUUAGAGGCUACAAGGUCACUUUGUAAAGCUGAGGCAUGACAAGGAGACAACAUAUGCUUGGACAAAUGAAAGUAUGUUUUCUCAUCAAAAAAUAAAAUUGGAAGUACUUUAAGCAUGAAUUUUGUAUUGUGUCCCAUAGAGUUAGGGAAACAAUCUACAGUGCUCACUAAUUAGUUGGCCUAAUCUUUUUUGGUGUUUCAGUACCCUGCAUGUUAAAAUAAAUUAUGGAAACCUAACCCUCGAAGUACCAUAACAUCUAUUCUUUGAUAUUCCAAUGUAGGAAAUCAGAUAACAAAAUUUGACAACAAUGCAAAAGAACAACCAAUAAGAAUGGAUAGUUGGACCGGCAAACAACACCAACAUUCAUUCAUCUAUGAAUAUAAAUAUAACAGCAUGACAAAAACUAAUCUGUGAAUUAUGCAAGAUAAAAUGACAAUAAAAUAGCAAGAUAAUAGGUUACGAUUGGGAGUGGAUCAAUGGAGGAAAGUAAAAAAAACAUGGUACAAAACAGAUGCCAUGAGGAAGGUACCAGCUCGCGAUGGGGACUUGAAAUUUCACCCAGUACUAUACUUAGCGGAAACAAG